AUUGAACGCUGGCGGCAGGCUUAACACAUGCAAGUCGAGCGGGGUGAUGGUGCUUGCACUAUCACUUAGCGGCGGACGGGUGAGUAAUGCUUAGGAAUCUGCCUAUUAGUGGGGGACAACAUCUCGAAAGGGAUGCUAAUACCGCAUACGUCCUACGGGAGAAAGCAGGGGAUCACUUGUGACCUUGCGCUAAUAGAUGAGCCUAAGUCGGAUUAGCUAGUUGGUGGGGUAAAGGCCUACCAAGGCGACGAUCUGUAGCGGGUCUGAGAGGAGGAUCCGCCACACUGGGACUGAGACACGGCCCAGACUCCUACGGGAGGCAGCAGUGGGGAAUAUUGGACAAUUGGGGGAACCCUGAUCCAGCCAUGCCGCGUGUGUGAAGAAGGCCUUAUGGUUGUAAAGCACUUUAAGCGAGGAGGAGGCUCUUUUGGUUAAUACCCAAGAUGAGUGGACGUUACUCGCAGAAUAAGCACCGGCUAACUCUGUGCCAGCAGCCGCCGUAA
This 503-nucleotide ribosomal RNA is filed under the name uncultured bacterium. RNAcentral describes it as "partial 16S ribosomal RNA". It matches the Rfam family "Bacterial small subunit ribosomal RNA", at positions 30 to 523 of the family's 1533-position model. The record is from RNAcentral.